GUGGGGAAUUUUGGACAAUGGGCGCAAGCCUGAUCCAGCAAUGCCGCGUGCAGGAAGAAGGCCUUCGGGUUGUAAACUGCUUUUGUACGGAACGAAACGGUCCUGGCUAAUAUCCGGGGCUAAUGACGGUACCGUAAGAAUAAGCACCGGCUAACUACGUGCCAGCAGCCGCGGUAAUACGUAGGGUGCGAGCGUUAAUCGGAAUUACUGGGCGUAAAGCGUGCGCAGGCGGUGCUGUAAGACAGGCGUGAAAUCGCCGGGCGCAACCUAGGAAUUGCGCUUGUGACUGCAGUGCUGGAGUGCAGCAGAGGGGGAUGGAAUUCCGCGUGUAGCAGUGAAAUGCGUAGAUAUGCGGAGGAACACCGAUGGCGAAGGCAAUCCCCUGGGCCUGCACUGACGCUCAUGCACGAAAGCGUGGGGAGCAAACAGGAUUAGAAACCCCAGUAGUCC
Molecule: ribosomal RNA, 450 nt
Filed under: uncultured bacterium
Lineage: Bacteria
Description: partial 16S ribosomal RNA
Rfam family: Bacterial small subunit ribosomal RNA
Source: RNAcentral